RNAcentral lists this long non-coding RNA (620 nucleotides) under Gallus gallus (chicken). RNAcentral's name for it is "long non-coding RNA NONGGAT001362". Lineage: Eukaryota; Metazoa; Chordata; Aves; Galliformes; Phasianidae. The record is from RNAcentral.
CCAAGAUACUGAUGGAACUGGGGCACCUCUCCUACGAGGAGAGGCUGAGAGAGCUGGAAGUGCUCAGUUUAGAGAAGAGGACACUCAGGGGCCCAAAUCCUCAUAGUCCCUGAGCACCUCACAGUGGUUAAUGCUCUGGUUCUCAACAAUUAUGCUCUAUCCCAUGAGAUGGGAAAAUGUAAGGACCUUCAUUCGUAACUGAUGGGGACCUGAAGCUGGUGCAAUCUAACAUCCAGGUGCUUUCCUGCUGUACUGAAAUCCCCCACACCUGUCUGUAUGUUCACAUGAAGUGUCUGGAAAGGAGAAGUAGUACCUCUAGCAGAGAGCAGCCCAAGCACAGAGCACUGACUGGGAACCCACCCAGGGUCAUUCAGUGAAGUGCUGAAAGUAUGAUACAUCCCCCAUAUCACUGCUCCCCAGUGCUGAAUUGCCUCAUGCACUGUGGCAGAUGCGUACCUCCUACCACUUGAGAUGCUCAUCUCCGAACUUGCUUACAGUUAUGGCACACUAUUUUUCUCUCUAAAGCACAGCAAAACUGCCUCUUUUAACACUGAAUCUCCUGGAUUAUGCCACUGUUUCUAUGCAACAUCUUAGCACUUAUUCAGAAUGUGACAUCCUCA